Molecule: ribosomal RNA, 497 nt
Filed under: uncultured bacterium
Lineage: Bacteria
Description: partial 16S ribosomal RNA
Rfam family: Bacterial small subunit ribosomal RNA
Source: RNAcentral
GAUGAGCGCUGGCGGCGUGCCUAAUACAUGCAAGUCGAGCGAACGGACGAGAAGCUUGCUUCUCUGAUGUUAGCGGCGGACGGGUGAGUAACACGUGGAUAACCUACCUAUAAGACUGGGAUAACUUCGGGAAACCGUAGCUAAUACCGGAUAAUAUUUUGAACCGCAUGGUUCAAAAGUGAAAGACGGUCUUGCUGUCACUUAUAGGUGGAUCCGCGCUGCAUUAGCUAGUUGGUAAGGUAACGGCUUACCAAGGCAACGAUGCAUAGCCGACCUGAGAGGGUGAUCGGCCACACUGGAACUGAGACACGGUCCAGACUCCUACGGGAGGCAGCAGUAGGGAAUCUUCCGCAAUGGGCGAAAGCCUGACGGAGCAACGCCGCGUGAGUGAUGAAGGUCUUCGGAUCGUAAAACUCUGUUAUUAGGGAAGAACAUAUGUGUAAGUAACUGUGCACAUCUUGACGGUACCUAAUCAGAAAGCCACGGCUAACUACGUG